RNAcentral lists this ribosomal RNA (492 nucleotides) under uncultured bacterium. Its description in RNAcentral is "partial 16S ribosomal RNA". It matches the Rfam family "Bacterial small subunit ribosomal RNA", at positions 29 to 507 of the family's 1533-position model. The record is from RNAcentral.
AGUGAACGCUGGCGGUAGGCCUAACACAUGCAAGUCGAACGGCAGCACAGUAAGAGCUUGCUCUUACGGGUGGCGAGUGGCGGACGGGUGAGGAAUACAUCGGAAUCUACUUUUUCGUGGGGGAUAACGUAGGGAAACUUACGCUAAUACCGCAUACGACCUACGGGUGAAAGCAGGGGAUCUUCGGACCUUGCGCGAUUGAAUGAGCCGAUGUCGGAUUAGCUAGUUGGCGGGGUAAAGGCCCACCAAGGCGACGAUCCGUAACUGGUCUGAGAGGAUGAUCAGCCACACUGGAACUGAGACACGCUCCAGACUCCUACGGGAGGCAGCAGUGGGGAAUAUUGGACGAUGGGCGCAAGCCUGAUCCAGCCAUACCGCGUGGGUGAAGAAGGCCUUCGGGUUGUAAAGCCCUUUUGUUGGGAAAGAAAAGCAGCAGGUUAAUACCCCGCUGUUCUGACGGUACCCAAAGAAUAAGCACCGGCUAACUUCGUG